RNAcentral lists this long non-coding RNA (257 nucleotides) under Prunus persica (peach). Its description in RNAcentral is "long non-coding RNA (PPER_LNC003738)". The record is from RNAcentral. Lineage: Eukaryota; Viridiplantae; Streptophyta; Magnoliopsida; Rosales; Rosaceae.
GGGUUCUGAGGAAUUCGGGGUGGGUCCUGUCAGUCUUGGUUUAGCUUUUGAGUUUUUUUUAUUCUUUAUUUGCCAAAUAUUUUAGGUUGUAAUUCAUUUUCACCCACUUCUGGACACGCAAUUUCUCUUUCCACAAAUUAAAGGGGAAAAAAAAAAAGGAAUUCGAGAAAGCAUUUUAUUAUUUUACUCUUUUUCAAAAAACGAAGGCACUAAUUAAAAAGGAGGCAAACACCCACAACUUGUUUCUUGGAAUGUCA